This is a long non-coding RNA of Sarcophilus harrisii (Tasmanian devil), 1739 nucleotides long. The record is from Ensembl. NCBI's taxonomy places the organism in Eukaryota, Metazoa, Chordata, Mammalia, Dasyuromorphia, Dasyuridae.
AGAAAGCUUCUGUGCACUCACCUGCACCUACUUGAGCAUCUGCGCAUUUCCCUCCCACACGUACCUUACGUAAACAAGGACGGCCUUCCCCUGUUUAAGUAUCCCCUUGAGUCUCUACCGCCUGUUCAUUCUUGAAGCCCUCCCGGAACAGAUCCGGACAAGUGGCACCUAAAACAGGGACCUGAAACAGCCGCCUGGCGAACAGUGCGAGUUUGGGUGAAGAAUCGCGGUACCCAGGAACAGGAUUUGUUUUUAUUUCUAGAUUUGGUCAAAUUGCAGAUAUAUUGACUUGCUUCUGGGACCUAGAUCAAACCUUUGUUUGUCAGCUUGCCACACUACAGACCCAUCCCCCUAGCAGACCGAGCAUCGUCCCUGUUCAGCAUGAAGAAGCAAUUGACAGCCAUCGCCCAUUUUUCCUGAUGUAAUUUGGACUGAUGGGGGGGAGUGGGAAAGUGGUUGACUUGUUAGAAUUUUCCCUGUAUUACUGUGCUGUGUUUUAAGACUUGGGAUGGAAAUUGUUAAACUUGUGUAAUUAUUGCUGUUAUGUUUGAAGAACUUUUAGUCUGUUAUGUAUAUGAUUUAUAUGUGGGAUGGUCAUUUGAUAAUUCCUUUCCAAAAGAAAAAAAAGGGAGGAGAAGAAAUAGGAAAUUGGGAAAACUGGUAUCUUGCUAAUUCAGAUUUAAUUGGAAGUCCUUUACUCCUUGCUUAAAUUUACUAGACUACGAUUUGCUGGUUGUGCUUUAUUAGAAAUCCCUUAUUCUGUUGGAAUUGCCCUAGCAGACUCAGUUUUGGGGAUUAUUUUUUAGAAACAACCAGAAUUUGGAUACCUGUCUUGGAACUGGUAGUCCUCUCUGAGCUGUUUCUCCAUUUCCUGUUACCCCAGGUCUUUAAUUAGUAGUUCAGCGUACUUAAAAGGACCUUGUUGAUAUUGAGGCCUCUAAAAGUUUGGGGUUUGCCUUGCCUUGGUCUAACUGUGCAUAAUCUGCAUUCUAGUAGCAGCCUUGUUUGUUCCUCUGGGCGGGACAGGUGGGGGUACUCCAAGCCUCACCCUUCUCUCCUGGAGCCGGCUGCCCCUCUGAAUGGGCAACACAACUACCUCCUGCCUGCUGCUCUGUAAGCAGAGGCUAAGUCAUGCACAAGUGGCCACAGCUAUCCAUAUACUCCCCAACUGCAGAGGAUCUGACAAUUGAUUGUCAGAAAUAAUUGAAAUAAGGAACUUUGUGUACUGCUGAUUAACUCUGGAGUUAUCAGAGAGAGACUUGACCUUGACAUAAGUCCUUGUAUUGGUCUAGCUUUAUUUUGAUUUUUAUUUGGUCUAUUUACUUCACAUAGGGUUGUUCAAAUUAUGGUGGUAAGGCCUUCUAGAGGAAGGUAAUUCAAAGAUUUGAAUAGUUCCAAGAGAAAAAGGGGGGAAUGUUAUGCCAAAGUCCCUUUUAAUGGGGUGACCCAGUUUUCCAAUUGUCCUAUUUCGCUAUUCUGCCUUAGGUUAUAACUGUCCCCUCUUAAUGAUUGAGAUAAAGGUUUUAUAGACAUUCCUUAAUGUUUGACAAGAUAAAGGUUUAUCCAUUUCAGAUUUCAUUAGAAUAUCAGUAAUGUCAUUGUUCUUUUUAUUCCAUAAAAAGUUUGCUACCCUGAUACUAGACUCUUUGAGAAGAUAGUCUCAUCUAGCCCUGGGAUCAACAUGGAUCCAUUGGUCCCAGUAUUUCUCAACAUUUAAUAAAUUAUUGAAUUGGUCUCUA